GCAGGAUCCUGGUGGUUUCUGACCCGUAGCCAGAGCCGUUCCUGCCCCCCGGUAUAUUCAUCAACUCAGGAAUACAUCACUGGGGCUGUGACAGACAGGAAGGCAAACAAGGAAACGCAGGUGUCGGGCUGCGCACGGGCUGCACGCACAGUGGGGCGCAAUCAGGAAGUCGUUAAGGAAGUUUCUGGCUGCGCCUGGGGAGACGGGUCAGACCCAGUGUGCGUUUCUGGACUGAUUUUGCUUCUCUCAGCAGCAGUCGUCCCUUGACCUGUCUCGGAGUUGACGUGGCGAGUGGCUCAGCUCGCCGUGCCGCCCGGGAGCCGGCGCUGCGGUUGUUUCCGCUCAUGAGGCGAAGAUGUGACGGCCUGCUCGGACACGCUGCUUUGGCCGUCAUCAACCUGGUGAAGAUGCUCUCGUCUCCGGUUUGCCCCCGGCUGCUUGCCGGUCCCCCUGCCCAAGGUCACCUUCCCCUGGUCAACGUGCACAGCAUCAUAUGCAGCCAGUCCCUAACCCAGUCCUGCCAAAACGGGCCUGGUUAUAAAUACUUCUCACAGUAUUUUUUUUAAGAAGGAUCCCCUGGAAGACGAAACCUCAUCUGUCAUGUUAAAUAACUUGAGUCUUGACUACCUGACCCAGAUGACCUGGUACAAAUUAUACAUAGUACCAAGGCUCAAACUGCCCCAGAGCUGUAACUCCCCGGGGUGUUUUCCCUGCAACCUCUGACUCAAGGGAGGGGAGCAGAAGUUGCGCCAGCAGGUCGUUCUCCACCACCAACAUCCUAAGGAAAACUGAGGCAGAGAGGAGUCAAGCUGCACAUCCGUGGUCAUGCUAGAGCUGGGCCAGCUCUGCCGCCCGCUGCGGACACUGUGCGAGGUGAUGCUGCUCCAGUAAUUGCAAUGCAGGAAGCUGAUGUAUCUGUGUCAGCAGGAUUAAUCAGAUGAGCGCAACCUGCAAGACAGGAGUAGUUAAGGUCUUGAUGCUGGCACUGAAAACUGGGGCUGUGCGCACUACUGAGGUCAUUGCCGCACACUCGGCUUUCCCCGUGAGAGUUCGCUGGGACCCAAGGACUGCACAACAGGGUUUUCUAAGUCCCCAGCACUGCACCUCUUUCAAGCCUUCCUGUUCUGGCUCUUUCACAAAAAGAAGAAACGUCAGAUUCUCAGAGGAUAAACUGGGGCUCCAACAAACACCAGGGCUGAGAAGGUACCUAAUUAAUUUACAACUGAGAUUGCUGCUGUCCACAGUGAUAUCACAGAGAUGCAACUAGUUUACACCCCGGGUCUAGUGUAUAUAAUCUGAAAAGUGGCAAUAUUUGCCAGAUUGAAGCACAAGGGGAGAUGCGGUCACAAAUAACACCUCGGGUUAUCGCGUUCAUCUUUGGUAAGCUCAGCUGGAGUAUGAGGCCUGCAAGCAUUCAGGUGCCAUGUAGGUUGCCAUUGUGUUAAAAAGCUGUUUGAUCCCGGCUGAUGACUGCGAUGUUUAUAUGGGAAUCAGGCCAUAAAGUUCUCAAAUGCAGUCAGCAGAUGGUUGGUCUUCUCCUCCUUCAGGCCAUAAAGUUCUCAAAUGCAGUCAGCAGAUGGUUGGUCUUCUCCUCCUUCCACUAUUGAUCUGAUGUACAACCUUACGGACAUCUCUUAACUAACCCCAAGUCUCCAUGUAUCCAUUUCUGUGGUGCUGUUUCAGGAGCUUAAGUGGUUGGUUCUGCCAGCUACUUUAUCACAUCACUAUUUAAUUUACUUUCUCUAUCAGAAAAAUGUAAAAGGAGGGCAUUCAUCUUAAACCGUUCUAUGCUUUGGUUGCGGGCUUCUUUGUUUAUCAGCUGCUGCGUUUCAAACUCCAUUGGAUAGGAACGUUUGUUGCUCAAGGACUUGAUUCAUGAGAUGAAAUUGCAUAAUGACUCUGUACUAGCUCUGGGCAGAGCCUGAGACAUCGCAGGCUGCUGACAAGAAUAAGCCGCAAGCCCCAGAAGCGGCACAAAAUCAUGGCUUUUUCACAACAAGCAGCAGCAGGAUAACGAUUCUGACCUUCGUCCUGCCCCUCGUGAAAUCGGAAAGAAAACCCGCCGACUUCAGGGAGUGAGAGGUUCUUUCUCAGCCCUCGCUAAUUAAAUGUACGCUUUGCAGCAUCGCUAAUACGGUACGCUAAUAAUAAUAAGGCAUCGCUAAUACGGUACGCUAAUAAUAAUAAGGCUGGUGUCAUGACUUUGGGGACCUAGAGAAAGAUAUCUGAUUCCUUGGCCAUGUUAAGGCUAAAUCUGUGACCUUUCGUUUUCAAGCCAGCAGAGUCCGCGUCCCUCCUCCUCCUCCAUUUCAGCUCCCUCAUCGUCAACGGACGCGCGCAAAUCACUGCUCUCGCGGACCCGAAUUUCACUNNNNNNNNNNNNNNNNNNNNNNNNNNUGAGCGGCAGAUCUCCGUCUGCAGAGCCCCCAGUUUCCUGAGACAACACGUCAUUCGCUCAAAACCCAAUUUACUGCCAGCGGUAACGUCUCAGUGACCCCUGCCACGGAGAGGAACUCGUUUCUGCCCUAGAAAAGCGCUUUUUUCAGCUCAGCGCUGAGGCCCGCUUGAAAACGUUAAGGCAGGGGAAACACGCGCCAGUUCCCUCGCCAACGCAGAUGUCCCGGCGACGUUAGCCUCGACGAACGUACUUCUUUCACAUGGCGUUUACGUAAGCCUCAGUAAAAGGAAAAAAUAAAAUAAAAUAAAAAUCUGCA
This is a long non-coding RNA of Struthio camelus australis, 2714 nucleotides long. The record is from Ensembl. NCBI's taxonomy places the organism in Eukaryota, Metazoa, Chordata, Aves, Struthioniformes, Struthionidae.